GGCCUGAGGCGGGGUCGGGACGGACGGAACUCACAAAAAGCCCCACGAGCCUCAGGGGUGUAGCCGGGGCUCGUUGGCCUCUUUCCGGCGUCCGGGGACUGGCCGAGCUGUACGUGGGACGGAGCAGGUCUGGGCGUAGGCGCAGCCCGGCUGCCUCAGCCCCGAGCGCGGCCGGACGGGCUCCAAGUAAUGAAAGACUUGGGGUUCAUUACAGGAGGUGCAUGUGCUAAUGAGCAGGCCAGUUAAUGGGGCAGGCAGGGAGCUGUGCCUGCUGCUCCCCAGAGAGCUCCGGAGAAGGAACCCCAGGGAUGGAGUGUCGGGAUCAGGGGCAGGAACAAAAAAGAAUCCACAGGAAGUCAAGUGAGGAGAAAUUCCUUCUUUCAGGAAGAAAUGCGUGUGUGAGAUUUGUGGGUGUAAUUUGGGUAGCUGUGGAAUUCCUACAAGUUUUGUUAGAAUUCCUAAGCUUGGUCAGCAUGGCUGAGCAGGUCCCCUCUUGUUUGUGUUACCAGAUGCCAGUGGAGCUUCCCAAAUGGAAUCCCAGAAUGGCUGGGGUUGGAAGGGACCUUAAAUCCCAUCCCAUCCCACCCCUGCCAUGGCAGGGACACCUCCCACUAUCCCAGGGUGUCCCAGUGUCCAGCCUAGCCUUGGCACUGCCAGGGAUCCAGGGGCAGCCCCAGCUGCUCUGGGAAUUCCAGCCCAGCCAGGAAUUCCCAACAUCCCAUCUAAAUUUCUCCUCUGGCAGAAAUACUCUAUUGUUUUGGGUUAUUUUUAUAAAUGGCAUUUCUUGAAUAAUUUUUAAGCUUGUUUGCUGUUUGUUCCACAAAGGAAGAGAAUCAGGUCUGUUAUCCAGUGAAGACUCAUUCAGACCAAGUAGGAAAGGCUGUUGAGGAUAAAAGAGUUAAUUUGCUUUUUGUUGAGUGUGGGUGGUUGUGGGGCAGAGCAGCUGCACCUGGAGACAAUAAAUGCAAAUUUAGCUCAAGGCAUCCAAGUGACUUCUCAGCCUCAUCAGCUGUGUGUGCUGUGGGUUUAAAAGGAGAAAAGUGGAUUUUACUGGCAUUUAUCCAUGUGGAUCUCAGCAGUGCCCAGAAAGGACCUAAAGCUGGGAGUCCUGCUGCUUCCCUUUGGGAAGGUGGCUGAUGCCAAUCAAAACUUAAUGGAAAAAAAAAUUAAUCAUGGUGCAAGGAUGAUGAUUGCAUUGUAAAGAGUUUUCCAAGCCCCCUUCCAGUCCUCUGCCUCUUCAGUUCCCAGUGGAGGUGCAACCCUGAAGAUUCCUGCCUCGGAUGGAGCAGCUGCAGAAAUUCAAUCCCAAAAGUCUGUGGUGUGCAUUGUGCAGCCCAGACACCCCAGUGAGAUCUGUAAUGGGGUUAAACUGGGGGAAACCCCAAACCCCCCUUGCAUGCUGUUUUUCUGUGGUUUUUCAUGGAAGUAUUUAAGGUUUUCCCCCUUUUUUUGGGAUGUUCCUUUAACAAGUCUUGUCAGUUAAUCAAUCCUGUAAGUUACAUAUAUUAAGUGUAGAGGUAUAAGAAUAAAUGUUUAUUCAGCAUUUUGGGAUCUUAAAUCAAUUAAUUGCCUCUCUGGAAGCAAAACCCAAAUGUUUCUUUUGUUUAGAGCAGCUGGAAGAAAAUACUUAUAUUUCAUAUAUUUGUACAUAUAUAGGUUUUGUUUAUUAGUGACUUUAAAAUGCAGAAAUACAGAAUAAUCUUCAUUAAACCUAAGGAAUCCUUUUCCUGCUGGAUUUCAUUGUAUCUCAGACUGACAGGACACCCCACACUGUGCUUAGGGUGUUUUAUUCUUUUUUCUUCUUUUCUCCUCUGGAUU
Serinus canaria (Common canary) is the source of this 1818-nucleotide long non-coding RNA. RefSeq lists it as uncharacterized. The transcript has 3 exons. Lineage: Eukaryota; Metazoa; Chordata; Aves; Passeriformes; Fringillidae. The record is from RefSeq and is a predicted model, not a curated record.